GUGCUCGCUUCAGCAAGCAGCACAUACACUAAAAUUGAAAUGAUACAAAGAAGAUUAGCAUGGCCCCUGCACGAGGAGGGUAUAAGUAUAUAUUGUGAGGUGAUUACUACAGUA
This is a non-coding RNA of Canis lupus familiaris (dog), 114 nucleotides long. Lineage: Eukaryota; Metazoa; Chordata; Mammalia; Carnivora; Canidae. The record is from Rfam.